Molecule: Y RNA, 92 nt
Organism: Callithrix jacchus (white-tufted-ear marmoset)
Lineage: Eukaryota; Metazoa; Chordata; Mammalia; Primates; Cebidae
Rfam family: Y RNA
About the family: Y RNAs are components of the Ro ribonucleoprotein particle (Ro RNP), in association with Ro60 and La proteins. The Y RNAs and Ro60 and La proteins are well conserved, but the function of the Ro RNP is not known.
Source: Ensembl
AGCUGGUCUGAUGGUAGUGGGUUAUCAGAAUUUAUUAAUAUUAGUGUCACUAAAGUUGGUAUAACUCCGCUGCUAAAUUUAACUGGCCUAAA